AACGAACGCUGGCGGCAUGCCUAACACAUGCAAGUCGAACGAGCCCUUCGGGUCUAGUGGCGCACGGGUGCGUAACGCGUGGGAACCUGCCCUUAGGUUCGGAAUAACUCCCCGAAAGGGGUGCUAAUACCGGAUAAUGUCUUCGGACCAAAGAUUUAUCGCCUUUGGAUGGGCCCGCGUUGGAUUAGCUAGUUGGUAGGGUAAAAGCCUACCAAGGCGACGAUCCAUAGCUGGUCUGAGAGGAUGAUCAGCCACACUGGGACUGAGACACGGCCCAGACUCCUACGGGAGGCAGCAGUGGGGAAUAUUGGACAAUGGGCGAAAGCCUGAUCCAGCAAUGGCGCGGGAGUGAUGAAGGCCUUAGGGUUGUAAAGCUCUUUUACCCGGGAUGAUAAUGACAGUACCGGGAGAAUAAGCUCCGGCUAACUCCGUG
This 433-nucleotide ribosomal RNA is filed under the name uncultured bacterium. RNAcentral describes it as "partial 16S ribosomal RNA". It matches the Rfam family "Bacterial small subunit ribosomal RNA", at positions 29 to 507 of the family's 1533-position model. The record is from RNAcentral.